This 425-nucleotide ribosomal RNA is filed under the name uncultured bacterium. Its description in RNAcentral is "partial 16S ribosomal RNA". It matches the Rfam family "Bacterial small subunit ribosomal RNA", at positions 354 to 796 of the family's 1533-position model. The record is from RNAcentral.
GUGGGGAAUAUUGCACAAUGGAGGAAACUCUGAUGCAGCGACGCCGCGUGGAGGAAGAAGGUUUUCGGAUCGUAAACUCCUGUUGUCGGGGACGAUAAUGACGGUACCCGACAAGAAAGUGACGGCUAACUACGUGCCAGCAGCCGCGGUAAAACGUAGGUCACAAGCGUUGUCCGGAAUUACUGGGUGGAAAGGGAGCGCAGGCGGGGAGAUAAGGUGGGAGUGAAAACUAUGGGCUCAAACCAUAAAUUGCUUUCAAAACUAUCUUUCUUGAGUAGUGCAGAGGUAAGGGGAAUUCCCUGUGUAGCGGUGGAAUGCGUAGAUAUCGGGAGGAACACCAGUGGCGAAGGCGGCCUACUGGGCACCAACUGACGCUGAGGCUCGAAAGUAUGGGUAGCAAACAGGAUUAGAAACCCUGGUAGUCC